GAUGAACGCUGGCGGCGUGCCUAAUACAUGCAAGUCGAGCGAACGGACGAGAAUCUUGCUUCUCUGAUGUUAGCGGCGGACGGGUGAGUAACACGUGGAUAACCUACCUAUAAGACUGGGAUAACUACGGGAAACCGGAGCUAAUACCGGAUAAUAUUUUGAACCGCAUGGUUCAAAAGUGAAAGACGGUCUUGCUGUCACUUAUAGAUGGAUCCGCGCUGCAUUAGCUAGUUGGUAAGGUAACGGCUUACCAAGGCAACGAUGCAUAGCCGACCUGAGAGGGUGAUCGGCCACACUGGAACUGAGACACGGUCCAGACUCCUACGGGAGGCAGCAGUAGGGAAUCUUCCGCAAUGGGCGAAAGCCUGACGGAGCAACGCCGCGUGAGUGAUGAAGGUCUUCGGAUCGUAAAACUCUGUUAGUAGGGAAGAACAUAUGUGUAAGUAACUGUGCACAUCUUGACGGUACCUAAUCAGAAAGCCACGGCUAACUACGUG
Molecule: ribosomal RNA, 497 nt
Filed under: uncultured bacterium
Lineage: Bacteria
Description: partial 16S ribosomal RNA
Rfam family: Bacterial small subunit ribosomal RNA
Source: RNAcentral